CCCUUAGAUGUCCUGGGCCGCACGCGUGCUACACUGACGCCUACAGCGAGCACUUUCCAGCCCCGAGAGGCGGCUGGUAAUCAGCAAUAGGCGUCGUGAUGGGGAUAGAUCUUUGGAAUUAUGGAUCUUGAACGAGGAAUGCCUAGUAAGCGCAGGUCAUUAGCCUGCGCUGAUUAAGUCCCUGCCCUUUGUACACACCGCCCGUCGCUCCUACCGAUUUCGAGUGGUCCGGUGAAUCUUUCGGACUGCGCGCGGCCUUGAGUCGUGUCGCGGAAAGUCAGGUAAACCUUAUCACUUAGAGGAAGGAGAAGUCGUAACA
This 319-nucleotide ribosomal RNA is filed under the name uncultured eukaryote. RNAcentral's name for it is "partial 18S ribosomal RNA". It matches the Rfam family "Eukaryotic small subunit ribosomal RNA", at positions 1470 to 1796 of the family's 1831-position model. The record is from RNAcentral.